AACGAACGCUGGCGGCAGGCCUAACACAUGCAAGUCGAGCGCGCCCUUCGGGGUGAGCGGCGGACGGGUGAGUAACGCGUGGGAACGUGUCCUUUUCUACGGAAUAGCCUCGGGAAACUGAGAGUAAUACCGUAUACGCCCUUUGGGGGAAAGAUUUAUCGGAAAAGGAUCGGCCCGCGUUGGAUUAGGUAGUUGGUGGGGUAAUGGCCUACCAAGCCGACGAUCCAUAGCUGGUUUGAGAGGAUGAUCAGCCACACUGGGACUGAGACACGGCCCAGACUCCUACGGGAGGCAGCAGUGGGGAAUCUUAGACAAUGGGGGCAACCCUGAUCUAGCCAUGCCGCGUGAGUGAUGAAGGCCUUAGGGUUGUAAAGCUCUUUCAGCUGGGAAGAUAAUGACGGUACCAGCAGAAGAAGCCCCGGCUAACUCCGUG
This 433-nucleotide ribosomal RNA is filed under the name uncultured bacterium. RNAcentral describes it as "partial 16S ribosomal RNA". It matches the Rfam family "Bacterial small subunit ribosomal RNA", at positions 29 to 507 of the family's 1533-position model. The record is from RNAcentral.